CCUACGGGAGGCAGCAGUGGGGAAUAUUGCACAAUGGGGGAAACCCUGAUGCAGCGACGCCGCGUGAAGGAAGAAGUAUUUCGGUAUGUAAACUUCUAUCAGCAGGGAAGAAAAUGACGGUACCUGACUAAGAAGCCCCGGCUAACUACGUGCCAGCAGCCGCGGGAAUACGUAGGGGGCAAGCGUUAUCCGGAUUUACUGGGUGUAAAGGGGGCGUAGGCGGCGAUGCAAGUCAGAAGUGAAAGCCCUGGUCUCAACUCCGGGACUGCUUUUGAUACUGUGUUGCUAGAUUGCAGGAGAGGUAAGUGGAAUUCCUAGUGUAGCGGUGAAAUGCGUAGAUAUUAGGAGGAACACCAGUGGCGAAGGCGGCUUACUGGACUGUAAAUGACGCUGAGGCUCGAAAGCGUGGGGAGCAAACAGGAUUAGAUACCCCUGUAGUC
RNAcentral lists this ribosomal RNA (440 nucleotides) under uncultured bacterium. RNAcentral describes it as "partial 16S ribosomal RNA". It matches the Rfam family "Bacterial small subunit ribosomal RNA", at positions 338 to 795 of the family's 1533-position model. The record is from RNAcentral.